Long non-coding RNA from Sorghum bicolor (sorghum), 610 nucleotides. RefSeq lists it as uncharacterized. Lineage: Eukaryota; Viridiplantae; Streptophyta; Magnoliopsida; Poales; Poaceae. The record is from RefSeq and is a predicted model, not a curated record. The transcript has 3 exons.
AGGCAACGAAACAGUAGGCGAUGAAGAACCAAGCUGCCAUCGAAACAACAGCCAACGAGAUAGUAGGCAACGAAACAGUAGGCGAUGAAGCAGCAGGCAAUGAAAUAGCCUCAAGUACUCAUCAACCAAUCCUGACUGAAAGAGAAGGAACAACACAAGACAAUGAAACACCCUUACCUCAGGAGAUUAAUCUACAAGUCAAGCAGAAAGCUUCUACACCCGCAGGUAACAUAGGGCGCAACACUAGGGGCAGCCUUAUGCGAAGCCAAUCACAAAACAAAGAAGGGAAUGUUACACCAAAUUUUAUUUCUCCAAAACAUUUGCUUGAUGCUGCGGCAAGGAAACGAUCAGCCAGAAAGAAUUGAAUUAUUUCUGGACAAAUGCAAAGUUUGAGUGGAGAGGGUCUGAUGGGAUUGACCAAAUGAGGCCAAGUCAAGCCAAGUGAAGCCGCAACAUCUUAGAUGUUUUGGUUUAGAAACAAAUGUCUUGGAUAUUUUUUGUUUGAAUAAUGUUUGUGUUGUCUCAGUUUGAAUUUUUGGAUCGUUUAUUCUACAUGUAACAAAUGAACAAGUUAUGAUUUAAUGGCUUUACCAAAUGGUUUGUUUAUGUC